GACGAACGCUGGCGGCGUGCUUAACACAUGCAAGUCGAACGGAAAGGCCCUGCUUUUGUGGGGUGCUCGAGUGGCGAACGGGUGAGUAACACGUGAGUAACCUGCCCUUGACUUUGGGAUAACUUCAGGAAACUGGGGCUAAUACCGGAUAGGAGCUCCUGCUGCAUGGUGGGGGUUGGAAAGUUUCGGCGGUUGGGGAUGGACUCGCGGCUUAUCAGCUUGUUGGUGGGGUAGUGGCUUACCAAGGCUAUGACGGGUAGCCGGCCUGAGAGGGUGAACGGCCACAUUGGGACUGAGGGACGGCCCAGACGCCUACCGUAGGCAGCAGGGGGGAGUAUGGCAGAACGGGCGGAAGCCAGAUGCAGCAACCCCGCGUGCGGGAUGACCGCCUUCGGGUUGUAAACCGCUUUCGCCGGUGACGAAGCGUGAGUGACGGUAAUGGGUAAAGAAGCACCGGCUAACUACGUG
This 468-nucleotide ribosomal RNA is filed under the name uncultured bacterium. RNAcentral describes it as "partial 16S ribosomal RNA". It matches the Rfam family "Bacterial small subunit ribosomal RNA", at positions 28 to 507 of the family's 1533-position model. The record is from RNAcentral.